This 1366-nucleotide ribosomal RNA is filed under the name uncultured bacterium. RNAcentral's name for it is "bacterial SSU rRNA". It matches the Rfam family "Bacterial small subunit ribosomal RNA". The record is from RNAcentral.
AGAGUUUCUCCUGGCUUAGGACGAACGCUGGCGGCGCGCCUAACACAUGCAAGUCGAACGAGAGAGAGGGAGCUUGCUCUCCUCAAUCGAGUGGCGAACGGGUGAGUAACGCGUGAGGAACCUGCCUCAAAGAGGGGGACAACAGUUGGAAACGACUGCUAAUACCGCAUAAGCCCACAGCUCGGCAUCGAGCAGAGGGAAAAGGAGCAAUCCGCUUUGAGAUGGCCUCGCGUCCGAUUAGCUGGUUGGUGAGGUAACGGCCCACCAAGGCGACGAUCGGUAGCCGGACUGAGAGGUUGAACGGCCACAUUGGGACUGAGACACGGCCCAGACUCCUACGGGAGGCAGCAGUGGGGAAUAUUGCACAAUGGGGGAAACCCUGAUGCAGCGACGCCGCGUGGAGGAAGAAGGUCUUCGGAUUGUAAACUCCUGUUGUUGAGGAAGAUAAUGACGGUACUCAACAAGGAAGUGACGGCUAACUACGUGCCAGCAGCCGCGGUAAAACGUAGGUCACAAGCGUUGUCCGGAAUUACUGGGUGUAAAGGGAGCGCAGGCGGGAAGACAAGUUGGAAGUGAAAUCUAUGGGCUCAACCCAUAAACUGCUUUCAAAACUGUUUUUCUUGAGUAGUGCAGAGGUAGGCGAAUUCCCGGUGUAGCGGUGGAAUGCGUAGAUAUCGGGAGGAACACCAGUGGCGAAGGCGCCUACUGGGCACCAACUGACGCUGAGGCUCGAAAGUGUGGGUAGCAAACAGGAUUAGAUACCCUGGUAGUCCACACCGUAAACGAUGAUUACUAGGUGUUGGAGGAUUGACCCCUUCAGUGCCGCAGUUAACACAAUAAGUAAUCCACCUGGGGAGUACGACCGCAAGGUUGAAACUCAAAGGAAUUGACGGGGGCCCGCACAAGCAGUGGAGUAUGUGGUUUAAUUCGACGCAACGCGAAGAACCUUACCAAGUCUUGACAUCCUGCGACGGACAUAGAAAUAUGUGUUUCCUUCGGGACGCAGAGACAGGUGGUGCAUGGUUGUCGUCAGCUCGUGUCGUGAGAUGUUGGGUUAAGUCCCGCAACGAGCGCAACCCUUACUGUCAGUUACUACGCAAGAGGACUCUGGCAGGACUGCCGUUGACAAAACGGAGGAAGGUGGGGAUGACGUCAAAUCAUCAUGCCCUUUAUGACUUGGGCUACACACGUACUACAAUGGCGUUAAACAAAGAGAAGCAAGACCGCGAGGUGGAGCAAAACUCAGAAACAACGUCCCAGUUCGGACUGCAGGCUGCAACUCGCCUGCACGAAGUCGGAAUUGCUAGUAAUCGUGGAUCAGCAUGCCACGGUGAAUACGUUCCCGGGCCUGUACACACCGCCCGUC